UGACAUCAGGAAUUCAGAUAGAACAAGGGAUUAUUAUGAGAGGUGCAAAAUCCUGAGAUUAAUAGCCUUGCCAUGGUGCAACUUCAAAAGGACUUAAUUCAGAUACCACUGUGUGGGUCUCCAGUCAGUAGGAGGAAACUACAGAAGAAAAAAAAAAAUGGCGGCACCUGGACAUUUUCUUUGUGCACAUGUGUUUUGUUAAGACUAUACCUCAUGUCCGUGGAACAAGUCUAUCAUACAGGAAAACUAAUUUGAAUCCCAUCUGAAUGUUGGAUGACAUAUAUCAAGAUGGCAGUGAAUAAGACAUAACUGAAAAAAUGGGAUGUGAGAGAAUCCAAUCUAACAUUUAAAAAUAAAUAUUCAUUUAUAUUAUU
Long non-coding RNA from Gigantopelta aegis, 374 nucleotides. RefSeq lists it as uncharacterized. The record is from RefSeq and is a predicted model, not a curated record. NCBI's taxonomy places the organism in Eukaryota, Metazoa, Mollusca, Gastropoda, Neomphalida, Peltospiridae. The transcript is spliced from 2 exons.